CCACCGUUUGCGGGAGAGAGCAGCAAAGCUGCCGCCGAAGGGGAAAUCGCCCGAAAUCUCUCAGGCAAAAGAACCGUUGACGGCAA
RNAcentral lists this non-coding RNA (86 nucleotides) under Kaistia sp. RNAcentral describes it as "Glycine sequence". It matches the Rfam family "Glycine riboswitch aptamer". Rfam says of the family: This family represents the bacterial glycine riboswitch. Glycine riboswitches usually consist of two metabolite-binding aptamers domains with similar structures in tandem. The aptamers cooperatively bind glycine to regulate the expression of downstream genes. The record is from RNAcentral. Lineage: Bacteria; Pseudomonadati; Pseudomonadota; Alphaproteobacteria; Hyphomicrobiales; Kaistiaceae.